Osmia lignaria (orchard mason bee) is the source of this 11386-nucleotide non-coding RNA. NCBI's taxonomy places the organism in Eukaryota, Metazoa, Arthropoda, Insecta, Hymenoptera, Megachilidae. The record is from RefSeq and is a predicted model, not a curated record.
AGUGAGUUUUAGGAUUAAGUUGUUCGGCAUCGUUCACCUCGACGGGUUUCGCGGAUCUUCACAGCGCACGAUGGGAUAUUUUUAUGGAUAUAAUUUUCAAAAUUUUGAGAAACGAUAUCAGUUACGACCUGAUAAAAUUUUUGAAGUUCUCUUUUCAGUAGUCUUUCUAUGCAAAUAUCCUACUGUGCAACGGAAGUUUACACUGAUAUGUCCCUUCCGCCGCGUGUUCUGAUAACAGGAUGCGCCUGUUUACUCUGCAACCUCCAGAUUCUUUCCACGCUUUAUCCUAAGAAUUUCAGCGUUGUUUGAAUUAUCACUUUUAAUCUAAUGUCAACAUUAGAGAGCGCACGAUUAACGCUAAGAAAGCAGAAGUACGGGACUCCGAUUACGGGAUAUGAUUGAAGAGGGUGUAAAGGAGCUCGAGUGGCUGUGUAAUGAAAUCGGGGGUCACGCGACCGGAACAUUAGAUCGAAUCCGCGGUUAUUACCCAGUAGACAGAUGAUUCAUUUGACAAAAAGGAUCGAAUCGGAAGAGUGACGAACAGGCGACGAUCGGUCCGUUAAUUCAUUCACAAAUCUAUCAGAAACGUACGUGUUAUCUUCGUCGACUGAUCGAUCGAUAGAAUUAUUCGACAGUCAAGGCUGACACGAUAGAUUCGGUCCUAGGAAGUUUUCCACUGGUGUACUCGCAUCGCAACACAUUGUUAAACGUAAUGACGUGUGUUUACGCUUGUGAAAAGCUGCUUUGGUGGCUCAUUAUCUAAUGUCAGAGUUGUUAUUACGGGGCGCAGCGAGGAGAUAGAGUCGUGAUGCGACCGCGGUAAUGUCAGUUUGAUCGUACGUUGCAAAUUACGACGGAAGACACGCUAUUAAUUAGCGAUCGGACGUUGUUUACCAGUCACGACGAUGGUAACGGUAUUGCGGGCUGCGCUUCUUCGGCUAGCCGACUUUUGUUAUUACAUGCCAUUUAACUAACGGUUCACGAUGUCUCGAGGUCCUUCAUUAUUUUUAUCGUUAUUCGUUAUUUCUUUCCGAUCCAGCUUCCUUUGCUCCCUCUAGCCGAUCUUUCGAUUGUUUUUCAACGAUUUUUUCGAAUUACUCGCCGACGAGGUAUUCGUUCAUAACGCAUAGCAGGAAAUGAAAUUCGCCGUCGCCGAAUUUCCGCUAAUCCCGGCUUCGGUUUCGCGGCAGGAACGAAACGAAAUUAAAUCGUGCAUCGGCCGCGUUAAUUAAUACGCAUUGCCGGCGUGUCGAUUCGCGCGGCGAUAGGUAAUACGCGCGCGACUCGAUUCCACAAUAUGUAGUAGUUUCUAAUUAACGGACGGCAUUGCGAUCGAUCCAAUAAAAGUAGGCAAAUAAAUCGCUGAUACCCUGUCAAGUACGCUCGACACGAUAAAUCACUACUUUCGGCCAAUUAUACAGCCGCGUUCCGCGUGCCGUGGCCACUGAAAAACAAGAUUUUGAGUAACAAGCAUCGAUUUUCAUCUGAAAUUUAUUUAAUGCCGAUUAAACUCGUGCCGCGGAUAUAUUUGCCAUUUAUAAUGCUUCCUCGCAGUGUUAUAAAUAAAACCGUUUUCCACGUGCCCGCCGCUCAAGUAUCGAUCCUUUGUGCCAUUAACCCUUUCGUCCCGAGUGGCACACAAUAUUCCAAAUACUACGUUCGAUUAACGAGAGAAUGAGAUUAGAAAAACAGAGAAUAAAGUGGAAGAAAUAUAGGUAGAAGAGUGGAGUACAAUAUGAAUAACUGAGAGAAGCGAAGGUGGAAUCCACCGGGGACAUCAACUUUUCCUAACACUCUGACGUUCAACACGCUCUUCCGCGGCAUUAGCAUCGGGAAGUGGCAGAAGUUAAGCUCGCCGUGUCAUUUCUACGUCUCUUUAACCCCGUCCCACCCCGUUACCUUCCGGUAACUUGGCUAUCGUAAGCCUGGAUCGGGACGGAUUCGAUGCAUUUUAAAAUUGCACGCGAUUACGUUGCGCGCGACCUUCCGUUGUCGCCGAUGAUGCAUAAAGCUCGAUGAAUUAGUUACGAUGCCGCGUCGAGGACGAGCGGAACGCUUAAAAAAAGCAUGAUUCGAGUAACAAAGUCUCCGGUGUUCCACGAUUUUGCAAUUACACCGAGGCGAAGUAUUAUUUUGUUAAACGCAGGAACUAAUGACUAGAUCAAUGUCUAAAAAUUCGCACAGAUACGAUAGCAUUAGAUGAAGCAGACGAUCGACCAUUCCGCUCGUGCACGAUCUGCUUUAAACCUCCCACACCCUCGUCGCGAUAAUUCGCAUCCCUGGUGCUUCCUCGCGGUGUUACGCGAGUCUUGGACAAACAUCCUCGAAAGUUGCAACCCUUCAGAUUCAUUCCUGCUCGCGAAACAAUGAAACGAAAUGAAUAUUUUGGUGGAUAGAAGAUAGAAAGAGAACGUGGUUGGAGGGUGAGAAGAGCGGCGCGUAGGUGAGUCGGGGUGCAAAAGUAGUAGGAAGGGGUGCUUCGGUCGUCGAAGUGCAAUGACGUAGGGCGUCGGAGGCGUUGGUGGCGCUGGGCUCCCACUAGCGUAUCGAUUCCUCGAUGCCAGGCAAGGAAACCAACCCCCAUACCCCCUCUCUUCAGCUUCCUCUGCCUUCAACCACCCCCGGGCGACCGUGCCGGCUAACUCAGCCCUCUCUCAGCCACCCCCGUCUUCCGCCCACCUACAAUCCCGUCGAACAGCCCUUCCUUCCUCCCUCGUUUCUCUUCCGAGCGACGGCCAACUUUCUAGAUAUGAAUUAACAGAGUUACCGGAGCUUCUGCACAGCUCGAGCUUCGAGUUAUGCGGUUUACCAACUUGCGAACGUCUCUGUGGCUUUGGCCCCUGUGUCAAUGCUCGCUCGCCCGUCUAUGCGGUUUGCGUUCCAGAUAUUUUCACGUUUCUUCAAUCACAAUAAUGCUACUAUACUCUAGCAUCCCUGCUCCUACUGCUUGUUUACACUAUACCUUCUUCCCUUAUCAAAUAUUCGUGUGUCUUCUUAUUACAAACUUUCCAUUCACUAUUACUCCUCGGGUCCUUACGUGUAUGCACUUUAGGUAGACAUUCACACAAUUUAUUAUAUAUCACGUACCAUAAAAAUGUUCGUCCCGUAUGAUUUAAAUAAAUAAAUAUUUUGACCGAGUAUUUUGAUUCACGGGAAGACAGUUUGUAUCAGGAAAAUGUAGCGAAUAUUUUUUCAUAAGCAUGACAUGCGUGGGACUAAUAAGGUAAUUAAGUCGGACAGCGUGGGAGUGGUGACUCGUCACGAACGCUGAUUAUCGGCAAUGCCAUAAUCUGUCACGAGAUCUGAACUCGAUGGAAUACCAUUCGUAUACAGAGUGUGCCAGCUUUGAAUUCCAUCCUUUCGUCAACGAAACCCCCGUCGUCAUUUUUCGCAUUGUUCCCGGCGCGAUCAUUAAAUUCUCCCCUGUCUGUAGAUUCAUGAAAAUUAGCGCGUGUGCUACAUACUUUUUGUCCAAGGCUCGUUCGACUCUUGCAGUGUCAUGCAUCCGGUUGAUAAUGCGAUUCCGCGGCACUGGGUUAGUGCAAGCACGCGGGUGCAACGUCGAGGAGGAAGGGUUGAGAGCGGAGAAACCGAGAGGAGGAGAGAGAGGAUGCCGGUAGUCGAGGGAGGAGGGGUCGGUCGUAAGGGGUGCGCGGGUGAUGUUGCAGAGGGAAGGGUUUGGGGUAUUAAAUCAUAGAGCCAGAGCGCCUGCCGCCGGUUUACUGCCGGAUAAAACGCAGUGACUGUUAUGUUAUGGACCACCUGUAUGCCUCGACCCUGAACUCUGUCUCUCCCUCUCUCAUUCCGUCGCUGCGUUGCUUGCUCCCGAGCCGACUGAAAUCUAUGGACGUCCAAAAACAACCCUUUCUUCCGGCUACAAAUACGAUCGCACUUUAAGUACAUAGUUUCUUUAAAAAUCAAUCGGUAAACAGAUAGUAGAUGUAUACGAAUUCUUGCUGUUAUUCUUUAAUUAGUCCAACAAUAUUCUUUUUAUCCAAUAAGGUGGGAUAACAAAAAAUUAAAAGGCCAAUCAAAUGUUCAAAAUGAUAAAGACUUGCUACAUUGUCUCAGGGAAUGGUAAAAAAUUCCCCAUCGAUGCAUCUUAUCCCAGGGGAACCACUGUGAUUCUUAAAAACACAGUCUCGUUACUUUUGGAAGCAGCCAGCUGGAUCGAUCGCUGGUCUGACUUUCUUUAAACCGCUUCGUUUCUCACGCUGAUAUCGAUCGGCUCUCGAAAGCACACAGGCUACACAAAAAGUAGAGAGAGAGAGAGAGAGAGAGAAAAAAAAGGAACAGCGACUUGAAAUCGCGAGUUGGAAGGCAGGGUGCGUUGCACCCCGGUUAAAGCUCCGCUCGAACGAUUGGACCGAUAAAAAUUUGUCCGAGUACGGCGGUCGAGUGAAAAAUAGCGCAGAAUCACGCGAGCUGGCAACGGUAACAGGCGUUCGCACGUCGAGCCUCGCGGCGAGAGUAAUUAACGCGUCGCCCUCGACAGGUCUGACGUGCUCGCGCUUUGGAAAGGAAUUCGCGACGGGAAGUGGCCGCUUCGCACCUAGACCGGGCACCGCCGGCAAAAAGGAGCCUCGUGGCUCGUGGAAAAGAUCGGAGCGAAAUCCUGUACCUGAUUCAGCGAAGAAAGAAAAGCGUUACUUCCUUCGUUCCUAUUUCAGAAUCUCUUUCUGUCCCUUUCUCAACCCUCUCUCGUCCUUGAUGCCGAGUUUUUCGUUUCUCCACGGAGAGAUCGGUAUCCGCGAUUAUAUUAUAAAUAUACAUGUAACUCAGGCAAGGCAUGCUACCCUGGCCGAGAGAGACGGACUCACACGAACAACGUCCUCACGUGCCCGGGAGAUACCUGCCGACGCAACUGCACCGUGCAUUCGGUGCACGGUCACGUGUAUUGUAUAUGGCCGGUACCAUAUCUGCCUACCUUCCUACGAGACCCGGUACGCAACCUUCCUCUUAUCUCUUUCUCUUUCGUCCUUUCUUUCCUUCGCCUUACACCGUACUCUUUCCUUCUCUACUCCCUGCCAAGUUGCUCGAGCAACUCGCGGUAUUAAAUACAAUAAAGACAUUCAAUGGGAAUUAAUCGGAUAUCUACGUAUCUACCGUCCAGUCUGGGUGCAUUGUUGUGCGCCUGGUCCCGUGACGGCGUGUGCAGCCCUCUCGGUCUCUUUCUUUCACACGUUCCAACCCGAUCGUGCCCUCUCCUUCUCUGCACCAACUCCUCCUACUCUUUCAUUCGGUUCUUCGUAUUUCACCUUUUUGCCGGUCGAGCUGCCGGGUCGAAUGGAGAUAUUCCGCGGCGGAAUAAUAUCGAGGCACGUUUUUAGAGAGCGUAAAGCCCCGACGCAUCGGAUCCCCGAGUCAUUCCUUGUUCGAACGGUCGCGCGUCGUCGAUCGACCGGCACCGAUUGCUCGCGCUUUAUGGGACCUCCUUCUCCCACAUUGCCAUUUUCCUUAAAGAACUUCACCUCGUAUACCGUGCACCGGUUCGAUACACUUAACGAACCCGUCCGCGAGCCCGGCUUUUCGAUUCGGUUUUUCUCUACCGUCGGAAAAACUAGCGGCGCGGUAACCGUGCAUCGACUCGAUACGCAACGUCGCGUCGACGGGGAGAUUUUAAUCUCGAUCGGAGAAUUAAUUUGCUGCCUUGUAGGGAAUUGCGCUCGAGGAAUCGUAGCUGUCUUUAUAAUUCGAUUAUAUCUUCACCGGGUAGCAUUCAGUUUCCUUAAUGUUUUAAUUAUCCCUGAUAACGAGAUCACCGUGCAUUUUUGUUUUCCACUUCCGUUGCUUUUUUUUUUCUUUCAAACUAACAGGUCGCGACGAGAAGAAAAGUUUCGCGCGAAAUCGAAGGUUCUUUGCUGUUUCAACUUUUCACGGAGUUGUGUUAUUUCUAUCUGGAGACACGUUGCAACUCGCGGCAACACGUUCGCCGGGCCCGGUUAAGUUCGUCAAAACUGUCAGACUCUUCGCGGACAAAGUUACACGGUGCAUUAAACUUUGAGCCACGUUCCAGUUCUUGCCACCUGUUUAUAGCGUUGCUUUCGCGCGCAUCGAUUGUUCAUUACUGUCGCAACUUUGCGGAGAAACUUUGUUGUUGUCGAGUCAAUCGACGUUACAUUGUAAUGGUACACCAGGCGCGGUGCGAAGAAAGCCAACUGCAUCUAAUGUAGCUAUAAAGGGAACUUUUGCGGCAACACGAUGAAUGAUGAAUGCGAGUUGAAACCGAUCAAUGAACGUAGCUUGAUUUAAAACCCGACGUGGUACGAUUUUUCUGUCGUCCCAUGGAAAAAAGUGAGAAUAAUCGUGGUAUAAUGGAACGAAAAGAAUAGCAUGGACUAUUCACGCGUAUUUUUAGAACGUGUUUCAAAUAAAACUCGAAACCUCAUCCGUAUCUUUAUAUCCGAUCAUCAUAGACCAUCGGUAGUUGCAAGGUUUCCUCUAACUUCGUUGUCUUAUCAACGACGAGGCUUCUUCCUCACGGUACACUCACCCCAUCCCCGUCGUUACAAUUAUUAUUCGUCUUAUCUGGCUCGAUUUGCAUUAUAUUUAAAUUUAAAUACACAGCUCGAGCGUAGCAGCGCCUUCUCGUCCCCCCCACCUGUCGCCCGUGGUCCCUCCUCCUCGCUGACUCGUCUCUUUGAAAGCCAACGGGGGCCACCUAUUUGCCACCCACUGUUCGUAACUCCCGGGGUAAUUGCAGGCCACGCGAAAACAAUGCCGAAGUCAAUAGACUCACGUGACCAGCUGGAUAUAAUUCCUGGCUUGCUGUUUUCGGCCAAUCGAAUCGCGUGGUACCUCGUGAGAAUUCCGUCUGAAACUCGCGAUGCUUCUUUGCGCGAUUAUAUAGAGGGUUAAUUAAACGAGGGUCGAGGUAAUGAACUUGUAAGUGCAUAUCAUUUCUCGUUUCCCUUUUUUUCUCUCUCUUCUUGACGUGGAAUGAAAAUUGCACCUCGAUUUCGUGGGAAUGUAAAUGAAAAAGCUGGAGAAAUUGUCUCCUCUUUUAAAAUUGCUACAUCUACACGUAUACCAUUUCCCGGAUUUCCUUCCUUACCCUUCUUUGAUCAACGUCCGAUCCCGGUAAUGUGCCGGAACCCUUGGUCGAACAGUAUCCUCGUAAACAUAUCGGGAAGAGCGUAUCGUCCCCGACCUGGCUCAACUGAAACGUUAGCAGCGAAAUGGCGUCAUAAAUAACGUCUUAAGUGUAGCGUCACGGCGUCGACCCUCUGUCGAGAACAUGACCGACCUACGAGGGAAGUCCUUGCACCUAGGAAUGAGCAAUAAAAGAAUUCGAAACAUCGUUCUCGACAUUGUGCGGCUGUAAUUUCCAUCAGCAACAAAGCAUCAACAGACACCUCGGCAGUCUUUCGUUCUUCUCCUUUUUGGUACCUUAUCUUUGUCCCAACGAUCCGAUGCUCUCGAUUCAGCCAAUAGGAGAAUGGUGAGGUAGAAGAGCAAACGAAAGCUUUGUUGGAAUCUAAGCGACGUAAAAAGCACACGGGAUCCGUUCCUUUCUGCCAUUUAGAGGGAACAAGAAGAAGAAAUAAGAAGCGGCGGAGAAGGGCGUCGGCGAUAAAGGUGACGUAGGGCGUCGCGACGUCCGUCAAGCUACGCCGGUUGGUCCACCAUCCGGAUAUCUCGUUCUCCGUUUCGCUCGUUAACCUGUAUACCUCUUACUCUCUCUCUUUCAUCGAAGAGAAUCUUCCACCUCCUCCACGUUUCAGCCCCGUCUCUCUUUCCUCCUGUCUCUCGGCUGAAACGAGCGAAAUGCUUCUCUCAGGAUCAAGGAAGAGCGCAGACUCCAAACGGCACCGGCGACCCCCGUGAAUGGCGACCCUCACAAACCAAUCGUAUUCCCGUUUCCAUCCCUCUUCGCUGCCGGAGGAGACUCCAACGGGAGUUUCCCUCCGCGCAACCCUGUCGACGUCGUUACUGUUACCCGCUACCUAUACCCCUCUUCGUCUUCCCUCUGUCGGCUCGUCUCCACCCUAUGGAACCAGGCUGCUUCGACGACCGACGCUUUCCAACUUAAUGCUGCUAUUUUCAGGUUUUAACACUCGCACGACCGUUACUGCUUUCCUUUCUUCGCAAUCAAUUCAUUUCCUCGGCUAAGUCAAUCGCUUUGUGAUAAGAUGAAAGAUGGAAGAUGUUUCGUGUACCAUCGGAAAGACAAUAAUCCGAUGUCUAUAUGCGGCAAGGAAUCCACGGGUCGAACCGUUUAUCGUUCGUUACAUAAUGGAAACGUUGCCGACGUCGUUCGACCAUAUUAUUCGGAUCUUGAUCGACGCGACGAGCCACGGUGACCGGCUACGAUUUGCAAUUAUUGUCGACGCCGUUAUCGACGCGCACCUGUCGUGUCGCCUCGCUGAUAGCCGACGCGCGACUUAAUGUCCCGUGUCAGUCACGUGAUGGACUUGUGCACGCGUGUCCAGAGACACGGGUCUAUUUAGCGAAAUUGUACAAGUCUCGAGAACAAACGUGACGCGACGUUUGGAUUACAUUUCUUUCGUCUAAAAUAUCUUGCGUUGAAUACAAAUUUCAUGAGUUCAAGUGGAAGUUGCGAAUUUUCUAAAAUCCAGACAAGCUGCAUCUACGCCGUCUCGUUAGCCUUGUCAACGAGUCAGAAAAUUAAUCGUAGCUCUUAAUGGUGCUGGUAUUAUUUUACCCGUUGGAAUUCAACGAUUUUUAACUAGCAGGUUACUUUUUCCCCGCAUCGUGGCGAGGAAGAAAACCUCGAAGACUAUUUAUUUCCGACAGACCGUCGGUACAAAUAGUAUAGACACUUUAUCAAUGUUCCUCGCGGUAUCUUCGGUCCUGAUCGUGGCGCACCGGAACUCACGGUGAUCCCUUCCUUCGUUUCCUGAUCUAAAAAGCGCCGCGGGAUUUUUAACGAUGGCCGUUCUUUCGCGAGGGAAUCCACCACCACCUCUACCACCUCCUCCUCCGUGUAUCUUCGCCAGCAUUAAUUACUUUCGUGGCAGAAAGGAUCCGGAGCGAUAUCGCGCCGCUGCAACGACGAUACAGACUGUGCGCUCUCUCUUUCUCGUUCCCACAAUCCUCUUGCUCUGCCAUCCUUCCAGCUCUCUGCCAGUCGUCUUCUUUCAGCCCGAUUUCUCCGUUUCUCUCGGCGGGAUGCAAUUUACCGAAUUGUUUUUAAAUCCCUCGGGCGGCACCACGGCGGAACCAGGAGAAAAGCGUAGCAGAGAAAAAGAAAACACAGAGAGGAAUGGAAGAAAGAGAGGACGGAGCAGGAGGAGGAGAAAGAACGAGGUUGGCGGCAGCCAUGGCGUCAGCUGUUUUGCCCAGGAGGCGAGCACCCCCGUUUUCUUUAUGUUUCUUUGCCCGGAAGUCCCAUUCCGAUAUCGCCCCCGAUACACCGCUUGCACCCGUUUUCCACUCGAAUACCUAUACACCUACCGUUUCGAACGAACUCACGCAUAGUUCCUCGUCUUUCCUCGUUUUGAAACAAUUUUCCAAAAAUUACUGUCGAAAAAAAUCCACUGUAAUUUCAUAACGGUUAAGCGUUAUUAUACGCGCGAAUAAGUGUACGAAAAAUAGAGGCGAAGCGAAUCGAUUGACGGGUGGGCCUAUAGCGAGGCAUAAGAAUGCAGCAGCGUCGGCGAGGCCUUUGUGUCUCGCGUUUUAACGAGCCACGGUGCAUAAAUUAAUCCAGAAGCCUGAUAUCGUUUGAUUCGCCGCUGUGCCGCCAUGUCCGUUCAAGUGCACCCACCUCUCUUCCUCUCUCUUUCUCUUCCGCUCCGCAGCUACGUAUUUACCCUCCCCACUGCUUCUCCUGCUUACCUGCCAAUACACGGUGCACCUCGUGUGUAAUACCUUGCGUAGCGUGCGUGCACCUUAUGCACCCGCCUCGAUAUGCACUUUUUAUGGCCGCCACUUACUACCUUGAAUGGUAGUCCUUCCCCUUUGACGACUCGGCCGCCGUCCUCGCGAAGGGACAACCGCUUUUUUCCUAAUAAUAUCUUCGGAUGUUUGCGCGUUAAGAAAUCGCCAAAUAACUGUUCACAGGCAUCCUCUUCUACAGAAAUGGAACACAAGUCUCUUAGAAUCAGUUCCAAGAGGUCGGAUAGAUUUUUUUCAUCAGAUGUUUAUCGAACACCAUUUUGGCUGGCUGUUAAAUAUUCAUCAACCAGUUUAUCGCUGUCGGGAAACUCGUUAAUAGAGAAACGGGAGGAGAUCUCGAUCUAAGCAAAGCGUUGUCACUGCUGUCUUUUUGCUCGCCAUCCCUAUUUCUCGUACCCAUCUUUUUCAUGCUGCUUGGCCAGCUUUCUCUUUCCUCUCUCUUUCUUUCUGGCCUCCCAUAGCCAACCGUAGCCCUCCAUUUCCAUCGUCGUGGAUCAAUACACCGUGAUAAAAUGGCAGUGCCGUAAACGAGACUGUUCUUCGAUCUUUUUUUGGGUAUUAAUAGCAACCGUGCUCAUUGAUGGCUUAAGGAACCAAUAUACAGGCGAAUCAGUUGUCAGACUUAUAUUCCAUCCAACGAGAGGAGAUAGUAAAUACGUACAAAUUCACGUGCUCAAAGCAGGCUCGGCUCACAGUACAUAUAUGUACCUUGAUCGAAACUUUUGAAGAACUGGAAACAACUAAGUCCGACCCUGCAUCGAGCGCGUGAAUUUGUAAAUAUAUCCUGACUCGUCUCGUUGGACGGAUUACAGUUCCAUCUCUUUUAUUCUAUCUUUUUCUUCAAUUUUCAUCCUGAACUUUGUGGCUUUUCAUUUUUGCCAACGAAACAUAUAUAUCCAAGAUUAAUUUACGCUUCUUAAUUUGCAUUUAGUCUAGGCAGAUCCUAGGGAGAAUCUAGGGGGAGUUUAAUAUAGGAACCUAUAAGCUUUGUAGAUAAAGAAUAUGGAUAAAUAAAGAGAAUAAUCGGACAUUCUUUUCUUUAUAUUUUUAUUGCACUGAAAAGGGCUUAGUUUGUAUUAAAUUGUAUAUGUCAAUCUAUACACAUAACGUAAUGAUCAGAAGAAGGAACGAUGCGAGAGAAACACAUUAGUUCGGGCAGUCUCCGAUUGGCGGCGCGCAGGCACGAUCAGCAAAUGGUUACGGAGCGGAUUACUAGUUGGCAGCACUGGCAAGGCGCGACUCGGUUCGGUUGCAAGCAGGAAUGCUAAAAAUUUCGGAGUUUAUAUUAACAGUUGUGCGGUUAAAUGUGUGCUAAUUCGUUUCGUGUGGUGUGGAAAUUAGAGGCGAUUCAGUGCGUUGACUACAGUCCAGUAACUUCCAAAAGGUAAAUGGUGUCCGCGUAGGGAAUGGAGUUCGCCGCCAGACGCGCAACGAGCGGCGAGCGACGCGCGUCGCGGCGUUCUUUACUCUUCCGUCUUCCUCGGUAGUCCCGGUGACGCGAGUAACGCGAGUAUCGGAAGCGGCG